This 730-nucleotide ribosomal RNA is filed under the name uncultured bacterium. RNAcentral describes it as "bacterial SSU rRNA". It matches the Rfam family "Bacterial small subunit ribosomal RNA", at positions 771 to 1501 of the family's 1533-position model. The record is from RNAcentral.
AACAGGAUUAGAUACCCUGGUAGUCCACGCCGUAAACGAUGUCGACUUGGAGGUUGUUCCCUUGAGGAGUGGCUUCCGGAGCUAACGCGUUAAGUCGACCGCCUGGGGAGUACGGCCGCAAGGUUAAAACUCAAAUGAAUUGACGGGGGCCCGCACAAGCGGUGGAGCAUGUGGUUUAAUUCGAUGCAACGCGAAGAACCUUACCUACUCCUGACAUCCACGGAAUUCGGCAGAGAUGCCUUAGUGCCUUCGGGAACCGUGAGACAGGUGCUGCAUGGCUGUCGUCAGCUCGUGUUGUGAAAUGUUGGGUUAAGUCCCGCAACGAGCGCAACCCUUAUCCUUUGUUGCCAGCGAUUCGGUCGGGAACUCAAAGGAGACUGCCGGUGAUAAACCGGAGGAAGGUGGGGAUGACGUCAAGUCAUCAUGGCCCUUACGAGUAGGGCUACACACGUGCUACAAUGGCGCAUACAAAGAGAAGCGACCUCGCGAGAGCAAGCGGACCUCAUAAAGUGCGUCGUAGUCCGGAUCGGAGUCUGCAACUCGACUCCGUGAAGUCGGAAUCGCUAGUAAUCGUGGAUCAGAAUGCCACGGUGAAUACGUUCCCGGGCCUUGUACACACCGCCCGUCACACCAUGGGAGUGGGUUGCAAAAGAAGUAGGUAGCUUAACCUCCGGGAGGGCGCUUACCACUUUGUGAUUCAUGACUGGGGUGAAGUCGUAACAAGGUAACC